UACAGAGGGUGCAAGCGUUAAUCGGAAUUACUGGGCGUAAAGCGUGCGUAGACGGUUAUGUAAGUCGGGUGUGAAAGGCCCGGGCUCAACCUGGGAAUGGCGCUUGAUACUGCGGCGCUGGAAGGUGGGAGAGGAUGGCGGAAUUCCCAGUGUAGAGGUGAAAUUCGUAGAUAUUGGGAAGAACACCGGUGGCGAAGGCGGCCAUCUGGCCCACAUUUGACGCUGAGGCGCGAAAGCGUGGGGAGCAAACAGG
RNAcentral lists this ribosomal RNA (253 nucleotides) under uncultured bacterium. RNAcentral's name for it is "partial 16S ribosomal RNA". It matches the Rfam family "Bacterial small subunit ribosomal RNA", at positions 524 to 776 of the family's 1533-position model. The record is from RNAcentral.